UAGUUUUGUCCUAAGUCAGUCAAAUUCCCUAACUUUGACAGAGAGUAUAGAAAAAUGCAGCAUCUACAAAUCAAUCUAAUAUCAAAACAUAUUUCAUGGUGGGUUUAAUGGAACUAGUUUGAUGUUGUAGAUGUUGGUGCAUUUUUUUAUAAACUAGGCUAAAGUUAGAGGAAAUUGACUUGGGACAAAACUAA
Molecule: microRNA precursor, 194 nt
Filed under: Oryza brachyantha (malo sina)
Lineage: Eukaryota; Viridiplantae; Streptophyta; Magnoliopsida; Poales; Poaceae
Description: MIR1435 microRNA precursor family
Rfam family: MIR1435 microRNA precursor family
Source: Rfam by way of RNAcentral